AUGCAGUCGAACGAGGUGCACUUUGUAGCAAUACGAGGGUAUCCUAGUGGCGAGCGGGUGAGUAACGCGUUGGUGACCUGCCCCAAAGUGUGGGAUAACAGUCCGAAAGGACUGCUAAUACCGCAUGUGGCCAUCGGGUUUAGAAGCCGAUGUCUAAAGCAGCAAUGCGCUUUGGGAGGGACCUGCGUCCCAUCAGCUAGUUGGUGAGGUAAUGGCUCACCAAGGCGACGACGGGUAGGGGACCUGAGAGGGUGGCCCCCCACAAUGGAACUGAAACACGGUCCAUACACCUACGGGUGGCAGCAGUAGGGAAUAUUGCACAAUGGGCGAAAGCCUGAUGCAGCAACGCCGCGUGCGCGAAGAAGGUCUUCGGAUCGUAAAGCGCUUUUCUGGGAGAUGAGAAAGGACAGUAUCCCAGGAAUAAGUCUCGGCUAACUACGUGCCAGCAGCCGCGGUAAAACGUAGGAGGCAAGCGUUAUCCGGAUUCACUGGGCGUAAAGCGCGUGCAGGCGGUUUGGUAAGUUGGGCGUGAAAUCUCCCGGCUCAACUGGGAGAGGUCGUCCAAUACUACCGGACUAGAGAACGAUAGAGGAAGAUGGAAUUCCCGGUGUAGUGGUGAAAUGCGUAGAUAUCGGGAGGAACACCAGUGGCGAAAGCGAUCUUCUGGAUCGUUUCUGACGCUCAGACGCGAAAGCUAGGGUAGCAAACGGGAUUAGAGACCCCGGUAGUCCUAGCCGUAAACGAUGUGAACUUGGCGUUGGUGGCUUAAACUCCAUCAGUGCCGCAGCUAACGCGAUAAGUUCACCGCCUGGGGACUACGGCCGCAAGGUUAAAACUCAAAGGAAUUGACGGGGGCCCGCACAAGCAGCGGAGCGUGUGGUUUAAUUCGAUGUUACACGAAGAACCUUACCCAGGCUUGACAUACAGGUUGUAGGGAUCCGAAAGGUGACCGACCCGCAAGGGAGCCUGAACAGGUGUUGCAUGGCUGUCGUCAGCUCGUGUCGUGAGAUGUUCGGUUGAGUCCGCUAACGAGCGCAACCCUCGCCGCGUGUUACACGUGUCACGCGGGA
RNAcentral lists this ribosomal RNA (1070 nucleotides) under uncultured bacterium. RNAcentral's name for it is "bacterial SSU rRNA". It matches the Rfam family "Bacterial small subunit ribosomal RNA", at positions 55 to 1147 of the family's 1533-position model. The record is from RNAcentral.